RNAcentral lists this ribosomal RNA (274 nucleotides) under uncultured bacterium. RNAcentral describes it as "partial 16S ribosomal RNA". It matches the Rfam family "Bacterial small subunit ribosomal RNA", at positions 523 to 796 of the family's 1533-position model. The record is from RNAcentral.
AUACGGAGGGUGCGAGCGUUAAUAGGAAUUACUGGGCGUAAAGCGCGCGUAGGCGGUUUGGUCAGUCGGAUGUGAAAGCCCCAGGCUCAACCUGGGAAUGGCAUUCGAUACUGCCUGACUAGAGUAUGGUAGAGGGAAGUGGAAUUUCCGGUGUAGCGGUGAAAUGCGUAGAUAUCGGAAGGAACACCAGUGGCGAAGGCGACUUCCUGGGCCAAUACUGACGCUGAGGUGCGAAAGCGUGGGGAGCAAACAGGAUUAGAAACCCGAGUAGUCC